UCCCAACCUUCAAGAUCUCCGAUCGACGUCCCCGCGGCACGCCAUUGAGCUACCCCGGACUGGAGAACGCCAAUCAAGGCUCCCGUCGUGUGGACCCAGUCGAUCCCGAUAGCCAGUUCAGUCGACAGGAGGCUCCCGACAUCGACCCUUGGAUCGGGCCGUGUUGAUUCAUUAGCCAAAUGUGAGAAAGAUCGCGUCUUUCCGUCGUGUUGAUUGACGCUAAGGUUAUUGGGAGGAAAAAUAUCGCUUUUUUUUUUUGGGACCAUUUUUCGUGCUUUUUUAUUAUUUUUUUUUGGUGAGGGCGUUUUGAUUUCAGGGCUCCGAUCCGUUGAGAUUCAAGUGUGGGGUUAGGGUUUUCUGGUACUUGGACCCAAGGCUGGAAUUAGGUUUCUCUUCUUGCGUCUGAUGGUUUUUCUUUCGUGGUAGUCUUUGGAUUUUGACUAGGGUUCGGGUUUUCCUUCGGCACGACUGCUUGAGGGGCUACGUGCCGUUGCGGGAUGGCGGACGGGAGGAUGAAGGCUGUCGCUGAUGAUGAUGAAAGAAGGGAUGGCGACGACGAGGUCGGGCAGCAGGAUGAUGAUGAGGUUGAAGAAUUUGAGGAGCUGGAGCUUGGGCUUUCUCUGGGGCGUUGGGGAUGCAAUUCAGGGCUGACGAAUGGUGGCAGCGAUGAUGGCGGAGAGCGCGACUGUGUCCUUCCCUUCCGGUGGAGAGGGGCAUCGGGUGCUCAUGGUUUUAUGAGAGGCAGUCAGCUACUAGGCAUUUCAUCGCAAGACAAACAAAUUUGAGGACAUGGGGUGAGGAACUGGUGGGUGCGGUAGCUAUUGCCUCAGGAAAGAGAUGUUAGCUUGCCAGAUGAAGCAGUUUUCGAGAUGGAGAGAACUGGAUCAGAUAUAGACAGGGAUACUCAGCUCGAGCGGCCUAAAGUAUUUGCUUCCCCGAACCCUAGUAUGAUGACUUGAAGGGAACAGAUUAAUUCUUUUCUCUCAGAAGAAAUUUCUCAGAAGUCUUUCAAGUUUCAGAGAUCCAAUAUGCAUACGCUUGUAUAGCGAAAGACUUCAGGUACUCAAACCGAAGACUCUCUUGAGUUUCUUCUCUAUUGGCAUUUCCAUGCAUGGUUAACCAACCAGAAAAAUGAAUCAUAUCCCACAAGAAGGAAUUUGUCUUCAAGAACUUCUUUUGUUGGAGAAUCGCUGCUAUUUGCAGCUUGAAUCGAGAACAAACUAUAAGGCAACGUGGGCUUGAUUAUUUGGUUUUUGUGCUCGACAAAAUCAUGGGUUAGUCACUUUCGACAAUGCUUUAGUUGUCACUCUUUAUGGAGACAUGUUAUUGUCGCAUCUUCCUCCGAGAUGCUUAAACUUACAUUAGUUGUGACUCUUCUUCUUAUCUUGCAAUUUCCACAAUGAACCACAGCCUCUUCUUGAUUUUGAAGUCUACAUCAUCUUACCAUCCAAUCCCAUAGUAGGUACUUAUCAAUUUUACCUCUCCAUGCUAAUCAUUAUUAGUUUUAUUUAUAGGCAAUUUGGAUCUUGUAGACUUAAAUACAGUGAACUUUGCUAUCUAAGCUGAAAUAAUACUGAAUGGCAUAGCAGCUCUUUGGUCAAAGCAGAGUUCCAAGCAGGAGAUUGCUCCGACAUGGGCAAGAUCACUCUAAAGGAGCUUCUCAGAUUAGAUAUAUCCUCUCUGCAUAAUAUUGUUUUUUUUUUGUACCCUUUCCGUUUACAAAUAAAUUAUAGACCAUUUGCAGGCUUUGAAGGCAUCUUUCAACACUUUUGCUGAAAGCGAUCUUUCCUAAUCGACCAUACACUUUAUGCAGAGUCAUAAUCAGUAAUUCAUGUCUUGUUUCUGUGGUCAA
Molecule: long non-coding RNA, 1852 nt
Organism: Musa acuminata AAA Group (dessert banana)
Lineage: Eukaryota; Viridiplantae; Streptophyta; Magnoliopsida; Zingiberales; Musaceae
Exons: 2
Source: RefSeq, a predicted model, not a curated record